UUCGCAAUGCCCGAAAGGGUGAACGAGCGACUCCGCGUGCGGGAUGAAGGGUUUCGGCUUGUAAACCGCUUUUCUUUGGGAAGAAGGUCUGUCUCGUGCAGAUGGGCUCGACGGUACCAGAGGAAUAAGCCUCGGCUAACUCCGUGCCAGCAGCCGCGGUAAGACGGAGGAGGCAAGCGUUGUUCGGAAUUAUUGGGCGUAAAGAGCGCGUAGGCGGAUCGGUAAGUCUGGCGUGAAAUCUCCACCGCUUAACGGGGAGAGGUCGCUGGAAACUGCCUAGCUCGAGUAUGGUAGAGGCAAGCGGAAUUCCUGGUGUAGCGGUGGAAUGUGUAGAUAUCAGGAAGAACACCGGUGGCGAAGGCGGCUUGCUGGGCCAUCACUGACGCUGAGACACGAAAGCGUGGGGAGCAAACGGGAUUAGAUACCCCGGUAGUCCACGCUGUAAACGGUGGGCCCUAAGUAGAGGGGUUUU
Molecule: ribosomal RNA, 472 nt
Filed under: uncultured bacterium
Lineage: Bacteria
Description: bacterial SSU rRNA
Rfam family: Bacterial small subunit ribosomal RNA
Source: RNAcentral